Molecule: ribosomal RNA, 468 nt
Filed under: uncultured bacterium
Lineage: Bacteria
Description: partial 16S ribosomal RNA
Rfam family: Bacterial small subunit ribosomal RNA
Source: RNAcentral
GACGAACGCUGGCGGCGUGCUUAACACAUGCAAGUCGAACGGAAAGGCCCUGCUUUUGUGGGGUGCUCGAUUGGCGAACGGGUGAGUAACACGUGAGUAACCUGCCCUUGACUUUGGGAUAACUUCAGGAAACUGGGGCUAAUACCGGAUAGGAGCUCCUGCUGCAUGGUGGGGGUUGGAAAGUUUCGGCGGUUGGGGAUGGACUCGCGGCUUAUCAGCUUGUUGGUGGGGUAGUGGCUUACCAAGGCUUUGACGGGUAGCCGGCCUGAGAGGGUGACCGGCCACAUUGGGACUGAGAUACGGACCAGACUCCUACGGGAGGCAGCAGUGGGGAAUAUUGCACAAUGGGCGGAAGCCUGAUGCAGCAACGCCGCGUGCGGGAUGACGGCCUUCGGGUUGUAAACCGCUUUCGACUGUGACGAGGCGUGAGUGACGGUAAUGGGUAAAGAAGCACCGGCUAACUACGUG